UUGGUGAGAGAAGCAGGUCGGUAAUUGGUCACAACGCUCCUCAGAGACUGUGUCUGAUUGGCCGCCGAGUGACCAGCGCAUUAUGUGAUUGGACACAAUGCCCUUGGAGAGCGGCUGAUUGGACGGGAGGAGACCGAUUUGUUGAAUGGACGGGACUUUUAAGGGAAGCUGGUCGGUGUUUGGACGAAACCUCCUUAGAGACAGAGGUUGAUUGGCCGCCAAAUAAUCGGGCACAAAAAAUUGGCAAAUAGGAAAACAAUAAAAUCGGAAUUCUGAUUAAAAUCGGAAGAAUAUCAUGC
Amblyraja radiata (thorny skate) is the source of this 299-nucleotide long non-coding RNA. RefSeq lists it as uncharacterized. Lineage: Eukaryota; Metazoa; Chordata; Chondrichthyes; Rajiformes; Rajidae. The record is from RefSeq and is a predicted model, not a curated record. The transcript has 3 exons.